This is a long non-coding RNA of Diachasmimorpha longicaudata, 2083 nucleotides long. RefSeq lists it as uncharacterized. Lineage: Eukaryota; Metazoa; Arthropoda; Insecta; Hymenoptera; Braconidae. The transcript is spliced from 2 exons. The record is from RefSeq and is a predicted model, not a curated record.
GCCCUGAGUCCAGUGACGGUAACAUCCAACCAAUGAGCAGAAUCUGCCAACGUGGGACAAGUCAAUUGACGUUUUUUAAUCGGCCUCUUGUUCUAUCUAUUUCAAGGACGUUGGUGCAAUAAGGGCCAAAGGAUGUUGCAAUUCUGACUCGCUUAAUGUAAACAACAAAGCGUGACAGAUAAUUCAGGAAACUCUGGAAAAUUACGUCGGCGUAAACCAGUGUAUCGUUUCGUUAUUACACGAUGUUGGAGGAUUAAGGACAUCUCGUCACUUUGUGCGGUAUUAAAGGGGAACGAACCUUUUUUGAUCAUAUAAAGUAGUAUUAAUUUUUAUGUACGAAACUGCUCAUAUCGCCUUACGAAAGUUUUCCAUUCAAUCUCAUCGUAUAAAAACUAAGCAGACACUAAAAAAGUGCGACGGGAGGGCACGGUAAGGCUUUAUUGCCAUCUGACAAUUUCCCCUCCUAAUCCUGGCUCUCUACCAAAGAUAGGGGAGUUCCCAAAUAUCUCAGGACGCAGAACUUACAACUCCAGUGUACAUUAGAGGAAGACUGCUGCCACACUAUUUGAGAAUUGUCUAAAACUUUCCGGGAGUCGUCAUUACAUUGUUGCAACUAUUCAAUUAUUUUAUAGAAUAAUCAAGACAUGUAAAAAUCGACAGAAUUGAGAAUGGGAGAGGUGAACGCCAGAAAUAUCAAAAAGCGUUGCACUCAGAGGUCACGUGAGAAGUCGGAAAAUGCCAACGACAGAUAACACUUCCUAUUCAUCAAGAUAAAGAGCUGCACAGACAUCAAUACAUGAAUUGUCUUUUAGAGAACAUCUCAGUUAAUAUUCAUGAAUUAUUAUAGAUUUUGUGGUGAAUUACAAUCAAUUCGUAGCAUGGGUGAUAAUAAAUAAAGUCGCGAGGAAAAGUUAGACGUCCAGUAUUUAUCGAAUCUCACAUUGUAAGUGAUAAACAGCCUAGGGACCGUGAAGAAUAUCAUUCAACAUUGAUUAAGAUCUCCCGAAAAGUCACCAUUAAAUUUCCUGUUAACACCUACGUGUCCUUAAUUCAAAAACAACGUCAAAAUAAAGCGGAAACCGACGGGGGCUUUAUGACUUUCGUCAGGAAUACAUCGGGAGUAUUUUUUGGUCGAGAUUAUUGCACCAACUACCUUAAGACGUACCGCCCCACUAUCUGAAUCGAGGACUGAUUUGCAAUUGAGUUGGACUUCCAUUGAUAGUCGACUUGGUUGCUUGAUAAUCAGAUACCGAUUACUAAUUUCCAAGUCGCAUUUAUUAUCACUGAUUUUACUUAACAAUAAAUUAUUCAUACCCGAUGGAGCGAGAAUUUUUCUGAAGAGUUUUUUCGCUUUUCAAAAUGUUUAUUCAUGAAAAUUAUGCCAUAUGACUAAGAUAUUUCACACAUACAUUAAUGAACGUUGAUCAAUAGAAUCAACAUUCCCACUUCAACCCUCCAUAUUCAUUUCUGAAUAAGAAAAAGAAAGUCUGCAGUUGAUUUUCACGAUUCAACAUAUCUGUGGUAGUAAUAUGGCGAUUGUAUUUCUCUAAGGAUAUACAUCAGUCCACAUAUGCCGUAGUAUAUUCCUUUUGGGAAAUAAUAUACGAUUGAAACUCAUAUCACUUAUGUUAAAUAUUACGUAGACAAAUACCUUAGUAUCGUAAAUACAUCCAUUAUUUCAAUUUUUUGUGAUUCAAGUGAAAAGAAUCGAUCAAGUCGUUCAUUAAGUUAAUCAAAUUAUCGCUAAUCUUCGUGGAAAAAUAAUUCGAGAUGGACUGGAAAGACUGAUGAUUAAAUUUAGCUAAAUUGCGGAAAUAUGUGGGAAAGAACUUCCAUAUUUCAACUGAAAAAUUGCAUGUCCAUUCUACUUUGUAAUAAAAAACCCUAAUAAUCUACAAAAAUUCUGGGUAAACGUUUUCUAUUGUCUACAGAGAACAAAUUUUCAAAGUAAUUGUAAAUGAUACAAUUGAGAAUUAGCUUGAAUAUCAUACACAUAAGCUCAAGUAUAUGCUUUCAUUGUGCGAUGAAAUACAACUAAAAUGAGAAUGAGAAUAUUCCUCACAUGAAAACAAAAUAUAUCAAA